Molecule: ribosomal RNA, 549 nt
Filed under: uncultured Glomus
Lineage: Eukaryota; Fungi; Glomeromycota; Glomeromycetes; Glomerales; Glomeraceae
Description: SSU rRNA
Rfam family: Eukaryotic small subunit ribosomal RNA
Source: RNAcentral
UUGGAGGGCAAGUCUGGUGCCAGCAGCCGCGGUAAUUCCAGCUCCAAUAGCGUAUAUUAAAGUUGUUGCAGUUAAAAAGCUCGUAGUUGAAUUUCGGGGUCAGCAAGUUGGUCGUGCCACCGGUAUGUACUGGCUUUGCUGAUUCCUCCUUCUUGUAGAACCGUAAUGCCAUUAAUUUGGUGUUGCGGGGAAACAGGACUGUUACUUUGAAAAAAUUAGAGUGUUUAAAGCAGGCUAACGCCUGAAUACAUUAGCAUGGAAUAAUGAAAUAGGACGAGCGAUCCUAUUUUGUUGGUUUCUAGGAUUGACGUAAUGAUUAAUAGGGAUAGUUGGGGGCAUUAGUAUUCAAUUGUCAGAGGUGAAAUUCUUGGAUUUAUUGAAGACUAACUACUGCGAAAGCAUUUGCCAAGGAUGUUUUCAUUAAUCAAGAACGAAAGUUAGGGGAUCGAAGACGAUCAGAUACCGUCGUAGUCUUAACCAUAAACUAUGCCGACUAGGGAUCGGAUGAUGUUAAUUUUAUAAUGACUCAUUCGGCGCCUUACGGGAAAC